CCUACGGGAGGCUGCAGUGAGGAAUAUUGGUCAAUGGCCGGAAGGCUGAACCAGCCAAGCCGCGUGAAGGACGAAGGUGCCAAGCAUUGUAAACUUCUUUUGUCAAGGGACAAAAUCAGGCUCGAGAGCCUGACCGAGGGUACUUGAAGAAAAAGCAUCGGCUAACUUCGUGCCAGCAGCCGCGGUAAUACGGUGGAUGCGAGCGUUAUCCGGAUUUAUGGGGUUUAAAGGGUGCGUAGGCGGGCUGUUAAGUCAGCGGUAAAAGCCCGGGGCUCAACCCCGGCGAGCCGUUGAAACUGGCUGUCUUGAGAUGUCGAGAGGUAUGCGGAAUGCGCAGUGUAGCGGUGAAAUGCUUAGAGAGUGCGCAGAACUCCGAUUGCGAAGGCAGCAUACCGGCGGCGAUCUGACGCUGAGGCACGAAAGCGUGGGUAUCGAACAGGAUUAGAUACCCGUGUAGUC
RNAcentral lists this ribosomal RNA (459 nucleotides) under uncultured bacterium. Its description in RNAcentral is "partial 16S ribosomal RNA". It matches the Rfam family "Bacterial small subunit ribosomal RNA", at positions 338 to 795 of the family's 1533-position model. The record is from RNAcentral.